UACGUAGGGGGCUAGCGUUGUCCGGAAUCAUUGGGCGUAAAGCGCGUGUAGGCGGUUCGGUAAGUCCGCUGGGAAAGUCGGGGGCUCAACCCUCGGAUGCCGGUGGAUACUGUCGGACUAGAGUACGGAAGAGGCGAGUGGAAUUCCUGGUGUAGCGGUGGAAUGCGCAGAUAUCAGGAGGAACACCAAUAGCGAAGGCAGCUCGCUGGGACGUGACUGACACUAAGGCGCGAAAGCGUGGGGAGCGAACAGG
Molecule: ribosomal RNA, 253 nt
Filed under: uncultured bacterium
Lineage: Bacteria
Description: partial 16S ribosomal RNA
Rfam family: Bacterial small subunit ribosomal RNA
Source: RNAcentral